GUAGGUGGCAAGCGUUGUCCGGAAUUAUUGGGCGUAAAGCGCGCGCAGGUGGUUCUUUAAGUCUGAUGUGAAAGCCCCCGGCUCAACCGGGGAGGGUCAUUGGAAACUGGGGAACUUGAGUGCAGGAGAGGAAAGUGGAAUUCCACGUGUAGCGGUGAAAUGCGUAGAUAUGUGGAGGAACACCAGUGGCGAAGGCGACUUUCUGGCCUGUAACUGACACUGAGGCGCGAAAGCGUGGGGAGCAAACAGGGAUUAGAUACCCUGGUAGUCCACGCCGUAAACGAUGAGUGCUAAGUGUUGGGGGGGUUUCCCGCCCCUCAGUGCUUCAGCUAACGCAUUAAGCACUCCGCCUGGGGAGUACGGUCGCAAGACUG
This 374-nucleotide ribosomal RNA is filed under the name uncultured organism. Its description in RNAcentral is "partial 16S ribosomal RNA". It matches the Rfam family "Bacterial small subunit ribosomal RNA", at positions 527 to 896 of the family's 1533-position model. The record is from RNAcentral.